CAGAAGGUAGUUUAAUAUAAAAUUCCGGUUUUGGGGACCGGAGAUGAAAAUUUGAGGUUUUUUCUUUUGA
Molecule: transfer RNA, 70 nt
Filed under: Chelus fimbriata (Mata Mata)
Lineage: Eukaryota; Metazoa; Chordata; Testudines; Chelidae
Description: tRNA-Pro
Source: RNAcentral